UCAUUAAAUCAGUUAUCGUUUAUUUGAUAGUACCUUACUACUUGGAUAACCGUGGUAAUUCUAGAGCUAAUACAUGCUAAAAACCUCGACUUCGGAAGGGGUGUAUUUAUUAGAUAAAAAACCAAUGCCCUUCGGGGCUCCCUGGUGAUUCAUAAUAACUUAACGAAUCGCAUGGCCUUGUGCCGGCGAUGGUUCAUUCAAAUUUCUGCCCUAUCAACUUUCGAUUGUUGGGUCUUGGCCAACAAUGGUUUCAACGGGUAACGGGGAAUUAGGGUUCUAUUCCGGAGAGGGAGCCUGAGAAACGGCUACCACAUCCAAGGAAGGCAGCAGGCGCGCAAAUUACCCAAUCCUGAUACAGGGAGGUAGUGACAAUAAAUACUGAUACAGGGCUCUUUUGGGUCUUGUAAUUGGAAUGAGUACAAUUUAAAUCCCUUAACGAGGAACAAUUGGAGGGCAAGUCUGGUGCCAGCAGCCGCGGUAAUUCCAGCUCCAAUAGCGUAUAUUAAAGUUGUUGCAGUUAAAAAGCUCGUAGUUGAACCUUGGGCCUGGCUGGCCGGUCCGCCUCACCGCGUGCACUGGUCCGGCCGGGCCUUUCCUCCUGGGGAGCCGCAUGUCCUUCACUGGGUGUGUCGGGGAACCAGGACUUUUACUUUGAAAAAAUUAGAGUGUUCAAAGCAGGCCUAUGCUCGAAUACAUUAGCAUGGAAUAAUAGAAUAGGACGUGUGGUUCUAUUUUGUUGGUUUCUAGGACCGCCGUAAUGAUUAAUAGGGACAGUUGGGGGCAUCAGUAUUUAAUUGUCAGAGGUGAAAUUCUUGGAUUUAUUAAAGACUAACUACUGCGAAAGCAUUUGCCAAAGAUGUUUUCAUUAAUCAGUGAACGAAAGUUAGGGGAUCGAAGACGAUCCGUCGUAGUCUUAACCAUAAACUAUGCCGACUAGGGAUCGGGCGAUGUUAUCUUUUUGACUCGCUCGGCACCUUACGAGAAAUCAAAGUCUUUGG
This 998-nucleotide ribosomal RNA is filed under the name Nagrajchalara unicolor. RNAcentral describes it as "SSU rRNA". It matches the Rfam family "Eukaryotic small subunit ribosomal RNA", at positions 98 to 1110 of the family's 1831-position model. Lineage: Eukaryota; Fungi; Ascomycota; Leotiomycetes; Helotiales. The record is from RNAcentral.